This 424-nucleotide ribosomal RNA is filed under the name uncultured prokaryote. Its description in RNAcentral is "bacterial SSU rRNA". It matches the Rfam family "Bacterial small subunit ribosomal RNA", at positions 355 to 796 of the family's 1533-position model. The record is from RNAcentral.
UGGGGAAUCUUGGACAAUGGGGGCAAGCCCGAUCCAGCCAUGCCGCGUGGGUGAAGAAGGCCUUAGGGUUGUAAAGCCCUUUCAGUCGUGACGGUGAUGACGGUAGCGACAGAAGAAGCCCCGCCUAACUCCGUGCCAGCAGCCCCGGUAAUACGGACGGGGCAAGCGUUGUUCGGAUUUACUGGGCGGAAAGGGCGCGUAGGCGGACGGUCAAGUCAGAGGUGAAAGGCCCGGGCUCAACCUGGGACGUGCCUUUGAAACUGAUUGUCUUGAGUGCGGAAGAGGGUGACGGAAUUCCCAGUGUAGAGGUGAAAUUCGUAGAUAUUGGGAAGAACACCGGUGGCGAAGGCGGUCACCUGGUCCGCAACUGACGCUGAGGCGCGAAAGCGUGGGGAGCAAACAGGAUUAGAUACCCCUGUAGUCC